Molecule: ribosomal RNA, 305 nt
Filed under: uncultured bacterium
Lineage: Bacteria
Description: bacterial SSU rRNA
Rfam family: Bacterial small subunit ribosomal RNA
Source: RNAcentral
UUGGUCCUACGGGGGGCAGCAGUGGGGAAUAUUGCACAAUGGGGGAAACCCUGAUGCAGCGACGCCGCGUGAGUGAAGAAGUAUUUCGGUAUGUAAAGCUCUCUCAGCAGGGAAGAUAAUGACGGUACCUGACUAAGAAGCCCCGGCUAACUACGUGCCAGCAGCCGCGGUAAUACGUAGGGGGCAAGCGUUAUCCGGAUUUACUGGGUGUAAAGGGAGCGCAGACGGCAGUGCAAGUCUGGAGUGAAAGCCCGGGGCCCAACCCCGGAACUGCUCUGGAAACUGUGCGGCUGGAGUACCGGAUG